CUACGGGGUGCAGCAGUGGGGAAUAUUGCACAAUGGGCGCAAGCCUGAUGCAGCCAUGCCGCGUGUAUGAAGAAGGCCUUCGGGUUGUAAAGUACUUUCAGCGGGGAGGAAGGGAGUAAAGUUAAUACCUUUGCUCAUUGACGUUACCCGCAGAAGAAGCACCGGCUAACUCCGUGCCAGCAGCCGCGGUAAUACGGAGGGUGCAAGCGUUAAUCGGAAUGACUGGGCGUAAAGCGCACGCAGGCGGUUUGUUAAGUCAGAUGUGAAAUCCCCGGGCUCAACCUGGGAACUGCAUCUGAUACUGGCAAGCUUGAGGCUCGUAGAGGGGAGUAGAAUUCCAGGUGUAGCGGUGAAAUGCGUAGAGAUCUGGAGGAAUACCGGUGGCGAAGGCGGCCCCCUGGACGAAGACUGACGCUCAGGUGCGAAAGCGUGGGGAGCAAACAGGAUUAGAUACCCCAGUAGUC
Molecule: ribosomal RNA, 464 nt
Filed under: uncultured bacterium
Lineage: Bacteria
Description: partial 16S ribosomal RNA
Rfam family: Bacterial small subunit ribosomal RNA
Source: RNAcentral